UCUAAGGAGUCAUUUGACUCUACAGAAAAUCUCGGGCUAAGGGCCACCUCUUCAAUACAUCCUUGCACUAAUAUGAUGUGGGUUCAGACGGCGACGUUCCAAGGGGAGCGCUCGAAUCGAAUACGGGCCCUGGUCGCUUCAGACUCAGCUGGGCCUGUAGCUCAGUUGGUUAGAGCACGCGCUUGAUAAGCGCGGGGUCGAUAGUUCAACUCUAUCCAGGCCCACCACUGAGUCCUGAUCUAUUUUGUGGAGUAGGCAGAGAUUCAGCAGCCGCCCUAACCAUCGAAUACGGGGCUGUAGCUCAGUUGGGAGAGCACCUGCUUUGCAAGCAGGGGGUCGCUGGUUCGAUUCCAGUCAGCUCCACCAAACCGCGCUGUACGUAUCGUUUACCUCAUCAAUCAGCUUUCUAGAAACGACAGGAAGCUGACAGUUUUGGUUGCAAUUCGAUUGCUCAUCGUCCUCUACACAGUUCGCUGUUGACAACCGUCAUCAGCGUCGUUCUUUGACAACUGAAUAGGUCUUGAAGAAAGACCAUGUGUAUCAGGAGCAAAGUGAUUGUUAAGCUACUAAGGGUGUACGGUGAAUGCCCUGGCAUCAGCAGGCGAUGAAGGACGUAGCUAGCUGCGAUAAGCCUCGGGAAGCCGCAAGCAGGCCGUGAUCCGAGGAUCU
RNAcentral lists this unclassified non-coding RNA (669 nucleotides) under uncultured Nitrospirota bacterium. Its description in RNAcentral is "uncultured Nitrospirae bacterium partial contains 16S ribosomal RNA, 16S-23S ribosomal RNA intergenic spacer, and 23S ribosomal RNA". The stretch from base 557 to 669 matches the Rfam family "Bacterial large subunit ribosomal RNA", at positions 1 to 113 of the family's 2925-position model. Lineage: Bacteria; Pseudomonadati; Nitrospirota. The record is from RNAcentral.